AUGCGAUUACUGGGACAGCAACACCGACAUGGCCGGCCCUGGUUGUGUCUGGGAGACUUCAACGAGAUCUUGACCGGGGAUGAGAAGAUUGGAGGUGCAGCAAGGGCGCAACGGUUUAUGGACAAUUUCAGAGAGGCACUUCAGGCUUGCGAGCUUAGCGACCUAGGUCUUGAGGGCGAUAAAUUCACUUGGAUAAAUCAUAAUAUUUGUGAAUGCCUCGACCGAGCUACGGCCAAUGCUACGUGGUGUGAGUGGUUCCCUGAGUUCACCGUGGUGAAUGGUGCUCCUCGACACUCUGAUCAUAGGCCAGUUAUU
This 315-nucleotide ribosomal RNA is filed under the name Triticum aestivum (bread wheat). RNAcentral describes it as "partial small subunit ribosomal RNA". Lineage: Eukaryota; Viridiplantae; Streptophyta; Magnoliopsida; Poales; Poaceae. The record is from RNAcentral.